This 1021-nucleotide long non-coding RNA is filed under the name Oryza sativa tropical japonica subgroup. RNAcentral's name for it is "lncRNA OsKeNa_08g0002680". Lineage: Eukaryota; Viridiplantae; Streptophyta; Magnoliopsida; Poales; Poaceae. The record is from RNAcentral.
UGGUGCCUCCCUCACAUCGGCUCCUGUGGCCGCUCCCGUCUUCGCCGCCGCCGCCCGCCGGUGCCUCCCUCCACCACCACCUGGGCCCCGCCUCCUUGCCAUUCACGAACAGGAGUUUCGGCAGGUUCGUGCGGGCGCCGUCACGCCGCCACAUAUCGAGACUCGCUGUCCGUUCGCCGGCCCGCCUCCUCCACGGCCGUCCAGUCUGCCGCCCUCAACGCCGAUCGCGCCGUCCAGUCCGCCCGCACCCUCUGCCGCCAUCUUCAAAAGCCCUGCCGCCGCCACGAGAUCCAGGCGAGCAUGAUGGAAGACGUGGAUGCGGCUCCAGUGGUUGAUUGGGUGGCAACGAGGAUGAACCGCAGCUGACUGCACCCAUGCACAACCGCAACCAACUAGCUAAAGCAACGAAGCCUAUUCUCUUCAAAAAAAAAAAAUUGGCAUAAAUAUGCUGAAAAUGAGCUUAUGCUAAUCCUGAGAUAAAAAGGGGCUGCAGGGAUGUUGGGGCUUUGGUCCUUGAGAUCAUGCAUAUUGCAAGAGAAACCUAAUCUGAGUUUCAAAAGUGGAUGGUGCAGCUGUUCCGUUUGAUUGCAAAAUGCCCGAAUAGCUUUGACUUUCAAGUGUUUGGGGUCAAGUCUGUAGUUUGCAAGGAGUGAACCUCAUUGUCCGUUCGUUGGGGAGACCUCCUCCUCCACCGCUGUCCAGUCCGCUGCCCCCAGUUCGCACGUUCGAGGGGGAACAUUGAUUUGUUCUUUAGAAAUUCAAUAAAUAGGCAUUCGUACAUGUGGCAUCCGAUGGUUAUAUGCUAUGGUCAUUUUUCAUUAAAUGUUGACUCAACUUUGUGGUAUGUUUUCAGUUUCAUUUAGCCAUUAAACUCUGGAGGAACUACAGAAUAAACUUGUAGAUGCAGAGGCCAGAAUGGAUUUGUAAGAGGCAAUGGAUUUUAGUAUUCAGUAAUCUUUGAUUUCAGGUAAAUUAAAGAUCAUUGCACAAUCAAGAAAUAUAUUUUGUGAAUGUUUGCAAU